Molecule: unclassified non-coding RNA, 311 nt
Filed under: Ascomycota sp.
Lineage: Eukaryota; Fungi; Ascomycota
Description: partial contains small subunit ribosomal RNA, internal transcribed spacer 1, and 5.8S ribosomal RNA
Rfam family: Eukaryotic small subunit ribosomal RNA (bases 1-47)
Source: RNAcentral
AAAGUCGUAACAAGGUUUCCGUAGGUGAACCUGCGGAAGGAUCAUUAACCGCGUAGAGCCCACCGAGCACGAGGGACCAUGUCGACCACCCUCCCUGCCGCUUUGGCUGGGGGGAAAUAGAGGUCGUCUGGACCGCGCUGCGUGCGUGGGCAACUCACACCCUCCGCGUACACUCUCCUGUUGCUUCCGCGGGGCGCGCACGCGCCCCGCGGACGGUACUGAAGAAAAAGCAUUGCAGCAUCGUCAUGCCUCACAGUCUGAACGUCGAUCUAUGAAGAUUAAAACUUUCAACAACGGAUCUCUUGGUUCUC